RNAcentral lists this ribosomal RNA (541 nucleotides) under uncultured Enterobacteriaceae bacterium. RNAcentral's name for it is "bacterial SSU rRNA". It matches the Rfam family "Bacterial small subunit ribosomal RNA", at positions 959 to 1502 of the family's 1533-position model. The record is from RNAcentral. Lineage: Bacteria; Pseudomonadati; Pseudomonadota; Gammaproteobacteria; Enterobacterales; Enterobacteriaceae.
ACGAGAAGAACCUUACAUGGUCUUGACAUCCAUAGAAUUCUGCAGAGAUGUGGGAGUGCUUCGGAACUAUGAGACAGGUGCUGCAUGGCUGUCGUCAGCUCGUGUUGUGAAAUGUUGGGUUAAGUCCCGCAACGAGCGCAACCCUUAUUCUUUGUUGCCAGCGAUUUGGUCGGGAACUCAAAGGAGACUGCCGUUGAUAAAGCGGAGGAAGGUGGGGACGACGUCAAGUCAUCAUGGCCCUUACGACCAGGGCUACACACGUGCUACAAUGGCGUAUACAAAGGGAAGCGAAGGUGCGAGCUGGAGCGGAUCUCAUAAAGUACGUCUAAGUUCGGAUUGGAGUCUGCAACUCGACUCCAUGAAGUCGGAAUCGCUAGUAAUCGUAGAUCAGAAUGCUACGGUGAAUACGUUCCCGGGCCUUGUACACACCGCCCGUCACACCAUGGGAGUGGGUUGCACCAGAAGUAGAUAGCUUAACCGCGAGGGGGGCGUUUACCACGGUGUGAUUCAUGACUGGGGUGAAGUCGUAACAAGGUAACCA